ACGACAAGUAGGGCGGGACACGAGAAAUCCUGUCUGAAUAUGGGGGGACCAUCCUCCAAGGCUAAAUACUACUGACUGACCGAUAGUGAACUAGUACCGUGAGGGAAAGGCGAAAAGAACCCCUGUGAGGGGAGUGAAAUAGAACCUGAAACCGUGUGCGUACAAGCAGUCGGAGCCCCGCAAGGGGUGACGGCGUACCUUUUGUAUAAUGGGUCAGCGACUUACAUUCAGUGGCAAGCUUAACCGAGUAGGGAAGGCGCAGGGAAACCGAGUCCGAACAGGGCGAUUUCAGUCGCUGGGUGUAGACCCGAAACCAGGUGAUCUACC
Molecule: ribosomal RNA, 327 nt
Filed under: Aplanochytrium sp. PBS07
Lineage: Eukaryota; Bigyra; Thraustochytrida; Thraustochytriidae
Description: partial Bacterial large subunit ribosomal RNA
Rfam family: Bacterial large subunit ribosomal RNA
Source: RNAcentral